GAACGCUGGCGGCAUGCCUUACACAUGCAAGUCGAACGGCAGCACGGGAGCAAUCCUGGUGGCGAGUGGCGAACGGGUGAGUAAUAUAUCGGAACGUGCCCGGUCGUGGGGGAUAACGUAGCGAAAGCUACGCUAAUACCGCAUACGAUCUACGGAUGAAAGCGGGGGGAUCGCAAGACCUCGCGCGAUUGGAGCGGCCGAUAUCAGAUUAGGUAGUUGGUGAGGUAAAGGCUCACCAAGCCGACGAUCUGUAGCUGGUCUGAGAGGACGACCAGCCACACUGGGACUGAGACACGGCCCAGACUCCUACGGGAGGCAGCAGUGGGGAAUUUUGGACAAUGGGCGCAAGCCUGAUCCAGCAAUGCCGCGUGCAGGAUGAAGGCCUUCGGGUUGUAAACUGCUUUUGUACGGAACGAAACGGUGAGCUCUAAUACAGUUUGCUAAUGACGGUACCGUAAGAAUAAGCACCGGCUAACUACGUG
RNAcentral lists this ribosomal RNA (482 nucleotides) under uncultured bacterium. Its description in RNAcentral is "bacterial SSU rRNA". It matches the Rfam family "Bacterial small subunit ribosomal RNA", at positions 31 to 507 of the family's 1533-position model. The record is from RNAcentral.